RNAcentral lists this ribosomal RNA (541 nucleotides) under Pseudoalteromonas sp. RNAcentral describes it as "bacterial SSU rRNA". It matches the Rfam family "Bacterial small subunit ribosomal RNA", at positions 464 to 1006 of the family's 1533-position model. Lineage: Bacteria; Pseudomonadati; Pseudomonadota; Gammaproteobacteria; Alteromonadales; Pseudoalteromonadaceae. The record is from RNAcentral.
ACUUGCUAGCUGUGACGUACUAUCAGCUCCGGCUAUACUCCGUGCCAGCAGCCGCGGUAAUACGGAGGGUGCGAGCGUUAAUCGGAAUUACUGGGCGUAAAGCGUACGCAGGCGGUUUGUUAAGCGAGAUGUGAAAGCCCCGGGCUUAACCUGGGAACUGCAUUUCGAACUGGCAGACUAGAGUGUGAUAGAGGGUGGUAGAAUUUCAGGUGUAGCGGUGAAAUGCGUAGAGAUCUGAAGGAAUACCGAUGGCGAAGGCAGCCACCUGGGUCAACACUGACGCUCAUGUACGAAAGCGUGGGGAGCAAACAGGAUUAGAUACCCUGGUAGUCCACGCCGUAAACGAUGUCUACUAGAAGCUGGACUCUUCGGAGGACUUUUUCAAAGCUAACGCAUUAAGUAGACCGCCUGGGGAGUACGGCCGCAAGGUUAAAACUCAAAUGAAUUGACGGGGGCCCGCACAAGCGGUGGAGCAUGUGGUUUAAUUCGAUGCAACGCGAAGAACCUUACCUACACUUGACAUACAGAGAACUACCAGAGA